GGAAAUCUUGGUUAGAUGAGCUGUUUUAUCUGGGCUCGCAUAUGCAAGAUGCAGUCUUUAGUAGAAUAUAGUUUCUGAUUAGAUUGUGGCGGGUAACAAACACUAAUGCAGCUAUGGCUUGUCUUUGACCAAUAGAUUGUGAUACUUUUUUUGGCUGCCCCUUGAUUAUUGUUACCCGUAGUAGAGGUCCUUGAAUGAUUUGUAUGUUUUUCAUGGAUCUAUUUAUCUUGAUUUGUAGAGCUUCGAUGUUGAAUGAGGUUUUCAACAAGCCAAAUAGUAAAAUAAGAUUCAAGAUUAUCAAAUAGCUGCCAUGUCCAUUGAGUUAGCAAUAAUCUAAUUAUGCAGAUGCGUAUUAAACUUCAGUUUAUGAUACAAUUUUUGUGGUCUUCUAAGUUUAGGUACAUAUACAUGUCCUGUCCUGCCAAUUUAGACACUUCUACUUCCUACAAUUAACUGAUAAAUGUGUAUAUGCGACUAGUUAUAUUUAUAUAUCUGGUAUCUGAUAUCUAGUCCAUUAGCUUGAUGUGCAAUCUUCAUAUGAAUAAUUGUAUCAUAGUUAAGGCUCUGCCUCAUCAUUGGCAAUGUGUAUGUGUAUAUGUAACCUUGUGUACUCUGUAUUUUUACCCAUCAAGUAGCAGUACUUUUUAGUGUAUAUAAAAACAGUAGAAAUUUGGUUUGGUAUGAAACUAUGAAGCCUCUCUUGUCAACUGCAGGGUUUCUAAUGUUUGAUAGAAGACUUGGCACUUUCCUGGUGCUAGUGUUGAACCAAACUUCGAGCCUUAGAAACAAAUGUUAGUUUAAUUGUGAUGGGUAUGAUUUUUUUAGUUAUCAUAGAAGAUAUAGAAUAUGUGUAAGGGGAGAGCAUGAAUAUUUUGAAGUUAUGAUCUCUUGUUUGGAUUAUUGUUCUUGGGUUCUUUGUUUCUCCUAGUUAUUUAGAUGAAUGAUUUUCUGAUAUUGUUCUUUGUAGUUUAAUAAUGUUUCUGUUGUAAGGUGCUCUUGAUUUGUGAUAGGUUUUAUACCAUGAUGCUUACUCAAACUUACAUUAUUUUUUGAAGGUAUCAAGCAGGAUAAACUAUCAAAAUUUGAUGAAUAUUGCUUGGCCACUGCGUGAGUUGUAUCAAAUAAAAUGCUGGAUUUUGGAGUAAGGUUAGCUUUUGCUCGACUCCUUCUGAAGUUGGUGUAUAGCAGGUUGCAGCAAUUGUGAGCAAUACUAUAGAUAGUGUAGCAGGCGCGUAGUUUAUCCUGGUCACUAUUGUUGCCCAGUAGCCAAGACAAAUCUGAAUGUGCAAGUUAUGGUUCUUCUAAUAUAGUUUAAAUUGAUGAACAUUUAAUUGUCUCCUUGUCAACUUGAACGGGCAGGAUGAACAAUUUGUCAUUCUGCAUUAGUGUGUUUUUUGUAGGAAAUGUGCUCUUUUAGUAGUGAGACUCAAUACGUGUAUAAAUCAUUUUAAUAUUUAUCAUAUGAACAUCAUGAUUUAUAAAAAUAGAUAAUAAAUAAUUUAUAUGGACAUGAAGUUAUUUUUAUGGUUUCUAAAAAUAACCAAAAGAUAAAUUAUAGUAUAAGAAAUUAGUUUUAGUUUCAUGUCCAAAUUGGUCAUUCUGCAAGCUGGAAGCACUUUUAGUUUUCAAUUUACCAAACACCUUUCACUGCUUUUAACACUCACAGCACCUAUUAAAAGUCAAUUUACCAAACGCUUAGUUAUACUUUACUUAUCAGUCUCUUAUUCUCAGGACAGCUUAUAAGCCAGCUUUUCUUAUAAGCCCAGUUGCACCAAACACACCCUUAGCUUUUCGUGGUCAUAUCACACAUCUAACUCCUCCUUAGGUACUGCAGACCGAUCGUAUCUCUUAUUCAAGGCUUCGGCAAGAGAUCAGAGUCGUUACCAUCUUCUUCACGGCAAGGAAGGUGAGAGAAGGUGCUAGAGUUUUUUUUUUUC
This 1937-nucleotide long non-coding RNA is filed under the name Fragaria vesca (wild strawberry). RNAcentral's name for it is "long non-coding RNA (FVES_LNC001475)". The record is from RNAcentral. Lineage: Eukaryota; Viridiplantae; Streptophyta; Magnoliopsida; Rosales; Rosaceae.